GGUGGAGCAUGUGGUUUAAUUCGAAGAUACACGAAGAACUUACCUGGCCUUGACAUGGUAGGAACCCUUAAGAGAUAGGGGUGCUAGCUUGCUAGAACCUACACACAGGUGCUGCACGGCUGCGUCAGCUCGUGUCGUGAGAUGUUGGGUUAAGUCCCGCAACGAGCGCAACCCUCGUCGUUAGUUGCUAACAGUUUGGCUGAGCACUCUAACGAGACUGCCUUCGUAAGGAGGAGGAAGGUGAGGACGACGUCAAGUCAUCAUGGCCCUUACGGCCAGGGCUACACACGUGCUACAAUGGGGCGUACAAAGAGCAGCCACUUAGCGAUAAGGAGCCAAUCCCGUAAAGCCGGUCUCAGUCCGGAUUGGAGUCUGCAACUCGACUCCAUGAAGUUGGAAUCGCUAGUAAUCGCAGAUCAGCACGCUGCGGUGAAUACGUUCCCGGGCCUU
Molecule: ribosomal RNA, 450 nt
Filed under: uncultured Sulfuricurvum sp.
Lineage: Bacteria; Pseudomonadati; Campylobacterota; Epsilonproteobacteria; Campylobacterales; Sulfurimonadaceae
Description: bacterial SSU rRNA
Rfam family: Bacterial small subunit ribosomal RNA
Source: RNAcentral